This 2214-nucleotide small RNA is filed under the name Pan troglodytes (chimpanzee). Its description in RNAcentral is "retained intron". The record is from RNAcentral. Lineage: Eukaryota; Metazoa; Chordata; Mammalia; Primates; Hominidae.
GCAGAGCUUGGGGCUGCCUUGGUCGCACCCACCACCUGCCUGCCCACUGGUCAGCCUUCAGGGAACCUGAGCACCGCCUGGUCUCUUUCCUGUGGCCAGCCCAGAGCUGAAGCGCUGCGGCAUGGCGCGCGCCUGCCUCCAGGCCGUCAAGUACCUCAUGUUCGCCUUCAACCUGCUCUUCUGGUUCUUCCUGCUGCUGCUGCUGGUGUUCCUGCUGGAGGCCACCAUCGCCAUCCUCUUCUUCGCCUACACGGACAAGGUACGGCUGCCUUGGCCGCAGGCCCAACUGCAGGGCUGGGGGCUCCAUCCUCACUCCCAGGGAGCACUGUGGGCCCAGUGUGGACAGAGUGGCCCUGCAUGUGCCCUCAUGGGCGGGCAGGACAGCGGGUGUGGAUUUACCAGGCCUGGAGGGGCAGCGCCGGCGACCCUGGGAGGCUGUGCUGUGGCUCUGCAGUGACUGGGGCACAAGGGCACUGCUACCCCACCCGGAGGGUGCGCCCCAGGUUGUCCCCCGCCCUCUGACGCAGCGUCCUGAGCCGUCUGCUCCCAGCGCCCCAUCCGGGCUGCGCACCGUGGGGUUCUGCUCUGUAGAGCGGCCUCUUCUUGGUCACUCACUUAUAUAUUCAGCCAUUUGUUUAUAUUGGGAUGAAGUCCUGGCUAUUGAGGCUGCACUCCGAGCUAGAACACAACACUACUUUGUUUUGUGAAUCACACUGUCCGUCCUUGGCCCUGGGGAGCUUCUGCCGUCUGCUGCUGGGUCCCCUGACGUGCCCCCAUCAACAGACUUUUCAUUUUGGGGCACGUCCUGACUUCCUGGCACUGCAGGGUGCUCCAGGCUCCUUCACUCCCUGCCCUGGCCCAGGAAUCAGCCCCUUCUCCAGGGUGCUCUGGGUCCUCACUGAAUAUUGGGGACCGAGACCAGGGUGCUGGGUGGGCUCAGCGCUCAUAGCCCCUGGCUUUCAGCUCACAGAGCAUGGCUGCAUGUGUCCCGAUGCAUGGAGGCACCUGUGUCCCUGUCCUCUGUCCCCCCAGGACCCAUGGUCCUCCCCCAGCCUGGGGAGGAAGCCCAGAGGUGGGGGCCCUGGGCCUCAGGGCUGCUGGGAGGACAUGGGGCCAGUGUGUCUGCAGCUUGGUGGGCUGGGAGGCGCGGGGGACACUUCAAGACCAGGCACAGGAGGGGCCCAGCUUAGGGGCCGGCGAGGGGGUCUGGAUGAGGGAGGCGGGGUACAGUGGGAGGGGCCCUGCUGACCCCCGCCGCACCCCCAGAUUGACAGGUAUGCCCAGCGAGACCUGAAGAAAGGCUUGCACCUGUACGGCACGCAGGGCAACGUGGGCCUCACCAACGCCUGGAGCAUCAUCCAGACCGACGUGAGGCGUGGGCAGGUGGGCGGGGUCGGCGGGUGCCCCCUCCCCUCCUGCCUCAGCCCGACCUGAGCUUGCCCCCCAGUUCCGCUGCUGUGGCGUCUCCAACUACACUGACUGGUUCGAGGUGUACAACGCCACGCGGGUACCUGACUCCUGCUGCUUGGAGUUCAGUGAGAGCUGUGGGCUGCACGCCCCCGGCACCUGGUGGAAGGCGCCGUGCUACGAGACGGUGAAGGUGUGGCUUCAGGAGAACCUGCUGGCUGUGGGCAUCUUUGGGCUGUGCACGGCGCUGGUGCAGAUCCUGGGCCUGACCUUCGCCAUGACCAUGUACUGCCAAGUGGUCAAAGCAGACACCUACUGCGCGUAGGCCGCCCACCGCCCGCUUCUCUGCCAAAAGGACGCCCACGGGGAGAUGGCCGCACCCACAGCUGCCUUUCCCACCACCAGCCUCGGUGCUCUGCCCCAUGCUGGGAGGAGGGAGGGAGGGACAGGUGCCUGGAGCCCCCGGAACCCUGUUUCUGGAAGGCCCUGGCUCAGGUGGCUUCAGGGCCUCCGGACCCCCCCCCCCGGGAGGGGUGGCCACGUGCUCGCUGCGGAACCCAGGGCAGGGGUGGGAGGGGCCUCCAGCACUUUUUAUAUUUACGUAUUCUCCAAAGCAGUGUUCACACGGGAGCCAGCCUGUGGCCCCCAGCCUCCUGGGAAACGGGUUGGUGCUGGAGGAGCCGGGUCUUGGCAUCCUGGAGGUGGCCCCACUGGUCCUGGUGCUCCAGGCGGGGCCGUGGACCCCUCACCUACAUUCCAUAGUGGGCCCGUGGGGCUCCUGGUGCAUCUUAAUAAAGUGUGAGCAGC